RNAcentral lists this transfer RNA (87 nucleotides) under Parcubacteria group bacterium CG1_02_40_25. RNAcentral's name for it is "tRNA-OTHER". It matches the Rfam family "tRNA". Rfam says of the family: Transfer RNA (tRNA) molecules are approximately 80 nucleotides in length. The record is from RNAcentral. RNAcentral also lists the same sequence under 2 other names.
GCCGGGAUGGUGAAAUGGAUAGACACGUCUGAUUACCGCCAGAUGAUGCAAUGCAUCAUGCGAGUUCGAGUCUCGCUCCCGGUACCA